AUUGAACGCUGGCGGCAGGCCUAACACAUGCAAGUCGAACGGUAACAGGAAGUGCUUGCACUUCGCUGACGAGUGGCGGACGGGUGAGUAAUACUUAGGGAUCUGCCUUUGAGUGGGGGAUAACUAUUGGAAACGAUAGCUAUACCUCAUAACGUCUACGGACCAAAGGGGGCUUUUAGCUCUCGCUCGAAGAGGAACCUAAGCGAGAUUAGCUUGUUGGUGAGGUAAAGGCUCACCAAGGCGACGAUCUCUAGCUGUUCUGAGAGGAAGAUCAGCCACACUGGGACUGAGACACGGCCCAG
Molecule: ribosomal RNA, 302 nt
Filed under: uncultured Glaciecola sp.
Lineage: Bacteria; Pseudomonadati; Pseudomonadota; Gammaproteobacteria; Alteromonadales; Alteromonadaceae
Description: bacterial SSU rRNA
Rfam family: Bacterial small subunit ribosomal RNA
Source: RNAcentral